UGUCUUUGUGAUUUAAAAAGUAUUGUUC
RNAcentral lists this non-coding RNA (28 nucleotides) under Bombyx mori (domestic silkworm). The record is from RNAcentral. Lineage: Eukaryota; Metazoa; Arthropoda; Insecta; Lepidoptera; Bombycidae.